This 268-nucleotide ribosomal RNA is filed under the name uncultured prokaryote. RNAcentral's name for it is "partial 16S ribosomal RNA". It matches the Rfam family "Bacterial small subunit ribosomal RNA", at positions 524 to 792 of the family's 1533-position model. The record is from RNAcentral.
UACGUAGGUGGCAAACGUUAUCCGGAUUUAUUGGGCGUAAAGAGAGUGUAGGCGGCUUGUUAAGUCGAGUGUUAAAUCUCCUGACUCAAUCAGGAGCUGCAUUUGAUACUGGCAGGCUUGAGGGCAGCAGAGGAAAACGGAAUUUCCAGUGUAGCGGUGAAAUGCGUUGAUAUUGGGAAGAACACCAGAGGCGAAGGCGGUUUUCCAGGCUGUUUCUGACGCUGAGACUCGAAAGCGUGGGGAGCGAAGCGGAUUAGAUACCCCCGUA